GUUGGGUAGGGGAGCGUUCUGUAAGCCUGUGAAGGUGGCCUGUGAGGGUUGCUGGAGGUAUCAGAAGUGCGAAUGCUGACAUAAGUAACGAUAAAGCGGGUGAAAAGCCCGCUCGCCGGAAGACCAAGGGUUCCUGUCCAACGUUAAUCGGGGCAGGGUGAGUCGACCCCUAAGGCGAGGCCGAAAGGCGUAGUCGAUGGGAAACGGGUUAAUAUUCCCGUACUUGGUGUUACUGCGAAGGGGGGACGGAGAAGGCUAUGUUGGCCGGGCGACGGUUGUCCCGGUUUAAGCGUGUAGGUGUGUGUUCCAGGUAAAUCCGGUUCACUUUAACACUGAGGCGUGAUGACGAGGCACUACGGUGCUGAAGCAACAAAUGCCCUGCUUCCAGGAAAAGCCUCUAAGCAUCAGGUAACAUCAAAUCGUACCCCAAACCGACACAGGUGGUCAGGUAGAGAAUACCAAGGCGCUUGAGAGAACUCGGGUGAAGGAACUAGGCAAAAUGGUGCCGUAACUUCGGGAGAAGGCACGCUGACACGUAGGUGAAGUGAUUUACUCAUGGAGCUGAAGUCAGUCGAAGAUACCAGCUGGCUGCAACUGUUUAUUAAAAACACAGCACUGUGCAAACACGAAAGUGGACGUAUACGGUGUGACGCCUGCCCGGUGCCGGAAGGUUAAUUGAUGGGGUCAGCGCAAGCGAAGCUCCUGAUCGAAGCCCCGGUAAACGGCGGCCGUAACUAUAACGGUCCUAAGGUAGCGAAAUUCCUUGUCGGGUAAGUUCCGACCUGCACGAAUGGCGUAAUGAUGGCCAGGCUGUCUCCACCCGAGACUCAGUGAAAUUGAACUCGCUGUGAAGAUGCAGUGUACCCGCGGCAAGACGGAAAGACCCCGUGAACCUUUACUAUAGCUUGACACUGAACAUUGAGCCUUGAUGUGUAGGAUAGGUGGGAGGCUUUGAAGUGUGGACGCCAGUCUGCAUGGAGCCGACCUUGAAAUACCACCCUUUAAUGUUUGAUGUUCUAACGUGGACCCGUAAUCCGGGUUGCGGACAGUGUCUGGUGGGUAGUUUGACUGGGGCGGUCUCCUCCUAAAGAGUAACGGAGGAGCACGAAGGUUGGCUAAUCCUGGUCGGACAUCAGGAGGUUAGUGCAAUGGCAUAAGCCAGCUUGACUGCGAGCGUGACGGCGCGAGCAGGUGCGAAAGCAGGUCAUAGUGAUCCGGUGGUUCUGAAUGGAAGGGCCAUCGCUCAACGGAUAAAAGGUACUCCGGGGAUAACAGGCUGAUACCGCCCAAGAGUUCAUAUCGACGGCGGUGUUUGGCACCUCGAUGUCGGCUCAUCACAUCCUGGGGCUGAAGUAGGUCCCAAGGGUAUGGCUGUUCGCCAUUUAAAGUGGUACGCGAGCUGGGUUUAGAACGUCGUGAGACAGUUCGGUCCCUAUCUGCCGUGGGCGCUGGAGAACUGAGGGGGGCUGCUCCUAGUACGAGAGGACCGGAGUGGACGCAUCACUGGUGUUCGGGUUGUCAUGCCAAUGGCACUGCCCGGUAGCUAAAUGCGGAAGAGAUAAGUGCUGAAAGCAUCUAAGCACGAAACUUGCCCCGAGAUGAGUUCUCCCUGAGACUUUAGGUCUCCUGAAGGAACGUUGAAGACGACGACGUUGAUAGGCCGGGUGUGUAAGCGCAGCGAUGCGUUGAGCUAACCGGUACUAAUG
Molecule: ribosomal RNA, 1706 nt
Filed under: Salmonella enterica subsp. enterica serovar Muenchen
Lineage: Bacteria; Pseudomonadati; Pseudomonadota; Gammaproteobacteria; Enterobacterales; Enterobacteriaceae
Description: bacterial LSU rRNA
Rfam family: Bacterial large subunit ribosomal RNA
Source: RNAcentral